ACCCUGAGGACUAUUUCAUUACGAAACCAACCUUCUUUGAUUUCAUUUUUAAUAUCAUUGGUAAAGAUGGCGGCUGAUCUGAAGGUGGUGCUUGCUGCAUUGCUGAGAGACAUUUCGGAAAGGAGUUCCUGUGAAAACUUAGCUGAAGCGAAAGCAAUUUUGAGUGCAACGCGCGCAGAAAAUAUUUAUAACGUCUCGAAAGACCUUGAUCUAAGCCCUUUGUUCAGCUGUUCAAGCACGUUUAACGGGAAUACUUUAGAUGAACUCAGUGAGCUGCUUGGAAAGCUUCUUGAUGCAUUUCCACCAUCUGCAUUACUUUCCGCUCACAAGCAGCAUUUUGUGACUGCAUUGAGCACUUCUGAUGGGGCACUGAAAGCAGUCGUCUUACGCCAGCUGAUUCGAUGCUCCAAGGACAAUGCUACAUUGUCUCAGCUUGCUCGUGAUCACCGCAUCCUUGAAUCUGUUUUGAGGCUCCUUGGUAGCGAGGACCUCUGGUCAUCCAAGCAGAGUGCUAUUCUGCUGAAACAGAUGACACGGGAAAAGGAAGUACUAAGUGCCAUGCUGCAUCCCCCUGUGGCACACGUUCUGGACAGCGUUAUGGAUGGUGGCGAUGUGUGCCGCUUUAGAGUGUUUGAGGUCUUUGUGGAUGUGGCAAAGGCUUCUCCUGAAAACCUUGAGCGGCUUUCAGAAAGCGGCCAUCUGGAAAGACUGGUGAAAGAAAUGGACAAGAAUGAUGUCUUAGUUCAGCUGAAUGCAUUAGAAGUGCUGACUGAGCUUGUGUCUUGCAGCCAUGGUUUGGAUUAUCUUGAGCGUACUGGCAUCAUAUCCAAGCUCCGUCAGAAAGCUCUCAACAUUGGUUCUGACCCACUCGGUAACUUUCUGGGCCCAGGAGUGCUAAAGUUUUUUGGCAGCAUGGGUGUGACCAGCCCCCAGCGAUUGCUGCUUGACUAUCCUCAGGUGCUGGGCUUUAUCUUUGAAAGUGUGCAAAGUGACGACCCAGCAUGCCAGGUAGUUGCUGCAGAAACAGUGGGUAUCAUCAGCUCCACCAUUCAAGGAAAACGUGUCCUUCAAUCACAUGGGGAUCAGAUGAGCCGCUACCUAAAAACAUUAAGCCAGAACAUCCACAGUGGAAAGGUCGACUUUAAGGUUCGAUAUCUCGGUGCCCUGGCCAAUGUUCUGCACGUUCAAGACAGCAGCUGUGAGGACUUGGUGCACUUGACAGAGCGGUGGUACAGCCUUCUAGGCGACCGACCCACAGACAUGUUGCUCCGCCUGUGCCGGCAGCCUUUCCCUGAGCUGCGUUGUGCCACCCUGACUGUGGUUGCUGAAGUGGCACGAGUACCCUGGGGUCAGGCUGCACUGGCAGCACAGCCAGGGUUCCUUGAGUACCUUCUUGACCGCUCCACUGAGGCUGACAAACAGUGCAAGGAGGCCAAGUUUGCUGUCGUGGCUACCUUGGCUCAGGUGCAACCUCGUGGUUUUGCUGAUGAUGACUGGCAACGCAUCAGGACUGCCUACCAAGAGGGUCCCUUCUAUAUGGCCUCGGAAGCGGCUGUAACGUUUGAGGGGCUCUCCUGAGGCUCUCAUCUGUCAAGAAAUUAUUUGCCAACAAUGCACUUUUGAUGCAACUCAUCACUCAAGGGUCACAUGCUUGGACGAUCGGUUUUGGAAAUAUCACUUUCAGUCUGCACCGAUUAGCUGGUCUUGCAAAAACGCUUGAAUUGUCCAACAUGCCUUGUACUACAUCACACGAAAGUGAAAAUAUUGCCUGAAGUGAUUGCCCGAAAAUACCACUGCAGGACUCCAACACAAAGUGCUCAAGUACAAGGACUCACAAACUCAAACAUAAUACAGCACUGCGUCAUGUUUCCUUCAGUGCAUCAGUGUUCUUGAGGGCUGCACGAAUGAUUUAUCGCCAACUAGCCCAUACGACACCUGCACUUGAAAGAACAAGAAGCUCAAGGAGCAGUGUGAUUUUAGAACAUUGAUGGCCUAGACCUGCUUUCUGCAGCUCCUUCCCACAGCUAAUGGAACACAGAACAAUGCGGAAAGUUGUGUAAAAAAUGUUUUAUUGUAGAAUGUCACCAACGUAAAACAAAUAAAGGGAUCACUUUCUGUCAGAAAAAAUAUGGCAGCAUGAUUCACUCAA
Molecule: RNA transcript, 2149 nt
Organism: Dermacentor albipictus
Lineage: Eukaryota; Metazoa; Arthropoda; Arachnida; Ixodida; Ixodidae
Gene name: 26S proteasome non-ATPase regulatory subunit 5
Source: RefSeq, a predicted model, not a curated record